AGCUCCAGUAGUGUAUAUUAAUGUUGUUGCAGUUAAAAAGCUCGUAGUCGGAAGGAAGGCAGCACGGAACCACUGUAGCGCGGUUGUCGGAAGAUGAAGAGCGGACAGUACUCUCGGGCUGCCAGUGACAUGAUGGAUAGAUCAUCCAUGUGAUUCAUUUCAUGUGGAGCAAAAGACGGAGCACGGGUGUGGUUUGUUGGAUGUACCAUCGAGUUGCCUUGAGUAAAGUAGAGCGUUCAAAGCAGUGCGUAGCACGUUGAAUAAUUUAGCAUGGGACAACGCAACAGGCCGGGCGGCGAGCGUGGCGCGGCGCGCCGCCGGGAAUGAUUGAUAGGGAUGACUGGGGACAUUCGUAUUGGGAGGCUAGAGGUGAAAUUCAGUGAUUCUUUCAAGACGAACA
RNAcentral lists this ribosomal RNA (400 nucleotides) under phytoplankton environmental sample. Its description in RNAcentral is "partial small subunit ribosomal RNA". It matches the Rfam family "Eukaryotic small subunit ribosomal RNA", at positions 587 to 941 of the family's 1831-position model. The record is from RNAcentral.